Molecule: ribosomal RNA, 996 nt
Filed under: uncultured bacterium
Lineage: Bacteria
Also listed under: 1 other name
Description: bacterial SSU rRNA
Rfam family: Bacterial small subunit ribosomal RNA
Source: RNAcentral
UGGGGGAUAUUGCACAAUGGGGGAAACCCUGAUGCAGCGACGCCGCGUGGAGGAAGAAGGUUUUCGGAUUGUAAACUCCUGUCGUUAGGGACGAUAAUGACGGUACCUAACAAGAAAGCACCGGCUAACUACGUGCCAGCAGCCGCGGUAAAACGUAGGGUGCAAGCGUUGUCCGGAAUUACUGGGUGUAAAGGGAGCGCAGGCGGACCGGCAAGUUGGAAGUGAAAACUAUGGGCUCAACCCAUAAAUUGCUUUCAAAACUGCUGGCCUUGAGUAGUGCAGAGGUAGGUGGAAUUCCCGGUGUAGCGGUGGAAUGCGUAGAUAUCGGGAGGAACACCAGUGGCGAAGGCGACCUACUGGGCACCAACUGACGCUGAGGCUCGAAAGCAUGGGUAGCAAACAGGAUUAGAUACCCUGGUAGUCCAUGCCGUAAACGAUGAUUACUAGGUGUUGGAGGAUUGACCCCUUCAGUGCCGCAGUUAACACAAUAAGUAAUCCACCUGGGGAGUACGACCGCAAGGUUGAAACUCAAAGGAAUUGACGGGGGCCCGCACAAGCAGUGGAGUAUGUGGUUUAAUUCGAAGCAACGCGAAGAACCUUACCAGGUCUUGACAUCCGAUGCAUAGCGCAGAGAUGCGUGAAGUCCUUCGGGACAUCGAGACAGGUGGUGCAUGGUUGUCGUCAGCUCGUGUCGUGAGAUGUUGGGUUAAGUCCCGCAACGAGCGCAACCCUUAUUGCCAGUUACUACGUAAGAGGACUCUGGCGAGACUGCCGUUGACAAAACGGAGGAAGGUGGGGAUGACGUCAAAUCAUCAUGCCCUUUAUGACCUGGGCUACACACGUACUACAAUGGCGUUUAACAAAGAGAAGCAAGACCGCGAGGUGGAGCAAAACUCAAAAACAACGUCUCAGUUCAGAUUGCAGGCUGCAACUCGCCUGCAUGAAGUCGGAAUUGCUAGUAAUCGCGGAUCAGCAUGCCGCGGUGAAUACGUUCCC